This 475-nucleotide ribosomal RNA is filed under the name uncultured bacterium. Its description in RNAcentral is "SSU rRNA". It matches the Rfam family "Bacterial small subunit ribosomal RNA", at positions 26 to 518 of the family's 1533-position model. The record is from RNAcentral.
AGGACGAACGCUGGCGGCGUGCUUAACACAUGCAAGUCGAGCGGAAAGGCCCUUCGGGGUACUCGAGCGGCGAACGGGUGAGUAACACGUGAGCAAUCUGCCCUUAGCUUCGGGAUAGCCCCGGGAAACCGGGAAUUAAUACCGGAUAUGACCUAGGCCGACAUCGGCUGUGGUGGAAAGUUUUUCGGCUGGGGAUGGACUCGCGGCCUAUCAGCUUGUUGGUGGGGUAAUGGCCUACCAAGGCGACGACGGGUAGCCGGCCUGAGAGGGCGACCGGCCACACUGGGACUGAGACACGGCCCAGACUCCUACGGGAGGCAGCAGUGGGGAAUCUUGCGCAAUGGGCGAAAGCCUGACGCAGCGACGCCGCGUGGGGGAUGAAGGCCUUCGGGUUGUAAACCCCUUUCAGCAGGGACGAAGCGAAAGUGACGGUACCUGCAGAAGGAGCGCCGGCUAACUACGCGCCAGCAGCCGC